RNAcentral lists this ribosomal RNA (231 nucleotides) under uncultured bacterium. Its description in RNAcentral is "partial 16S ribosomal RNA". It matches the Rfam family "Bacterial small subunit ribosomal RNA", at positions 112 to 334 of the family's 1533-position model. The record is from RNAcentral.
AACACGUAGGUAACCUGCCCUUAGGAUUGGGAUACUCCCGAGAAAUCGGGCUCAAUACCGGAUAUGAUUCCAGGGUGAGAUACCCAGGGAUAAAAGCCAUGAGCAAUCAUGGUACCUGAGGAGGGACCUGCGGCCUAUCAGCUUGUUGGUGAGGUAACGGCUCACCAAGGCCAAGACGGGUAGCCGGACUGAGAGGUCGAUCGGCCACACUGGAACUGAGACACGGUCCAG